RNAcentral lists this ribosomal RNA (308 nucleotides) under uncultured bacterium. RNAcentral describes it as "bacterial SSU rRNA". It matches the Rfam family "Bacterial small subunit ribosomal RNA", at positions 28 to 334 of the family's 1533-position model. The record is from RNAcentral.
GAUGAACGCUAGCGGGAGGCUUAAUACAUGCAAGUCGAACGGCAGCAUGACACUUCGGUGUUGAUGGCGAGUGGCGCACGGGUGAGUAACGCGUACACAAUCUACCUAUAACAGGGGGAUAGCCUCGGGAAACUGAGAAUAAUACCCCAUAGUAUUACUUUUAUGAUAUAUGAGUAAUUAAAGUUCCGGCGGUUAUAGAUGAGUGUGCGUCCGAUUAGCUAGUUGGUAAGGUAACGGCUUACCAAGGCGACGAUUGGUAGGGGGCGUGAGAGCGUGAUCCCCCACACGGGUACUGAGACACGGACCCG